AGUUGGAAAAUGACAUAACUUAUCUGAUGGAUAUUAGUUCAUUAGUUGAUAGCUCCAGGUCAAAUAGCUGUACUAAUAUCAGCAAACUGGAAACUGACCUAGAAGUAGCUGCCCUAAGCAUGAGAACCAGGAGGAAAUAUUCUGCAGAGUUUUUAUAUCAUAUUAAAGAUAAACCUUCGUCUAAAGAUCCUCCAGCUUGUCUUGACGCGCAGUUUUUUGACGACGGUGGCUUUUGGGAUCCUCAAAAGUGGGUAGCAUCUUUUGAACCGCCUUACAGAGUAAACAGCUGCCAGGAGGCUGCUUCCGGUAUUGAAACGUUCAAGAAUACGAUAAGUACCGAAGAUUCGCGUAUUACAAAGCUGCAAAACGAAGACUCCUUGGACAUAGUCUUGUCACCGCAAAGAAGAAGUUUUGGAGGAGGAUGCAAGGUAAACGAGGGGCAACAUGCUAAAACUGAUCGGCUGGAUAUCCCAGUUUUGAACAAACGCCAACCUAUCAGUUCGGCGCAAAACCCCAAUAGAAGAAACUUUGUUUCAAACAACAAUUCCAAUGCCCCAAAUAGAACAAAACACAACAGAGGCAGUGGCCCAUUCAAUACUGACCCAGAAAUCCAAGUUGCAAAUCCGAGAAACUUGGACAGAGCGAACUACCACCACAACAGUGACUCAAAGUCCUCAAACUACAACAGAUUUACCAAGCACGCUCUUGAAAGUGCCUCGCUUCUAGGAUCCUCAAACGAACACUCCCAUCAUCAUCCUCAUCACCACCACAACAAUAACACCAGAAGAUUUGAGAGCCGAAAGUCGAAGAAUGAACGGGAGGUGGACUUCGCAACUGCACGUCAAGCCCCACAGCCAGUCACUGGAAUUCGGAAGUGUAGCGAAGGAUCCGAUGACUUCCAAGCUGCAAUCGAAGUUCCGCGGUCGCCGACUGGAAGCGAUAUUGACGAGAACUUGUGGCUGGACGUUGAGCCAGGGGCUGAUUUCGAGUUCCACAAUGAUUUGGAAUCUAUGAAAAUGGAUUUUAACAACGAAAUAGAUGACCUAAACAACGAACAGAUUCAAAAUGAACUGCUUGCGGUGGGCGGUAGAGAAAUUUCAAGGAAGGCUGCACCUGCCGCUGAACGACAACCGGUAAUCAAUUAUGCGAAUACAGGUGAUGCGAUAAAGCAGGGGGCGGAAAAAGAUUUCGAUUUGAAUAAGUUUAUGGAGAAUGGUAGCUCUGUAACUGUGCCCAGAAGUACAACUACUCAAGGAAGCAGACUUCAGCGACUCUUCAACACUUCAGCUGACCAGAAUCGUAAUUUGGGAGCGGAGUAUGACAGAUACUUGCAAAGUUUUGAAUUUGACCCUGAAACAAAUGAUUUGAGAAGAUACAUUCAGCCUAUUGAUCCUCCGACGCCACAAACGAACAAUCAUUUUCAGCCCAAUGGAAUGAAUUUCAACGGAGAUCUUAGUUAUAAAACUCAGCAAGAGAUUGAUAAGCAGCAAAACCAACAGAUGAUUAACAAUCAGCAACAUCAACAGAUGUUGAACAAUCAGCAGCAGAAACAGCAACCUCAAACUGCACCAAGGUCUAGAUUCGCUCACUGGUUUGUUUCGGACGUGAAUCAAAACAACCUUCCUCCGAGCAGCAACCUGCUUCGAGACGAUAAUCAGAAAAACAACAUGCAAGCGCCCCUGAAUGUCAAAACCACCGAGGCAAAGGUUCAAGUGUUGUCGCUUGCGGACAUUGAAUCAGAUGUAAGCCCAGUUCCUCACGGGGGUCAAAGUGCAGCGCUGUCAGCGAAUAUGCAAGCUAAUUUGAGCAAGCCCAAUGUCAUUUCAGCCGAUGCUCUUGAGCGAGAUCUUUUAGCCCAAUCGCCGCCUAAAAGCAAAGACAAUGACUUGUCUGCGUUUACGUCUCUUUUGAAUCAGUUAGGGGGUGGAAAGAAUGUACCAGCUGGUGACAUAAACGAGGGCACAAGCAAUGAAAUGGUCAAUCGGCCAGUAUAUUCCCCGGGACCAGAAAUUAUUCAAGAUCAAAAGAAAGGAUCGGACCCACUCUACGCACGUAGAAUAACUGGCCAUAAUGUCAACAAUUAUCAAAAUAUGCCAAGCAAACAGGUGGAUCGAAAUACUGGGAGACAGAAUAUGUUACCAGAAGUUGCGACGCUGAAUCAGCAGGAAAGUAAUCGAUCAAGUCGAGAAGCGCAUUUGAACGAAUAUGAGAAAGCUACUAGAGAGCACAGACAAAUUCAACAGGCAAACAGCCGAAAUCAAGUUAACAUGAACGAGAUGUACAUCAAUGAGACUAACAAUUCCUUGCAACAGCAGACCUCGAACUUGCCUCCAAAUUUGGAAGUGUUCAAACGGCAAAUCGCGCUGCAGCAGCACAUAAAUCAACAACGACAGCAACAGCAGCAAAACCUACAGCAGCAAGAACUGUUGCGAAAUGCAGUUCAACAAGGUUCAAGUGCUGUGGGUGGUCCGAUUGGUAACAAGCAACGAGGGGGACCCUCGGACAUUUUUACUCCAACUGCCGUAAUGAGAAACUUGUCAAUGGAUAACCCCGCCUCUUCUGCUCAGACUGCAAGUACUUCUAAUUCCUAUGGGUUACAAUCGAAGCAUGCUGUAAAUUUAUCCAAUUUCUUACAGGCUAACCAGGAUCCGCGAGUGCGUGACAUGAUUUUCAAGAUGAACCAAGAGACUUUCGCAAGAUUGGGAAUGCCUUUGUCGAACACUUCGAACACUACCCAAGCACUUCAAAGUGCACAACUGUCAACUUCGGUAGCACAGAAUACCCGAAAUGUGCCUAAAUCGGUAAAUCCGGCUGGAACCAUAGGAUCGAACAAUGCACUGGGAAACACGAACCUGGCUGCCGCAUCAGUGGCCUCUUCUCAGCCAGCAUCGACUUCAGCUCAAAUGGCUAAUGUUCCCAUUGUCGGUCCACCGAUAGUUAGCCCUUGGUUGAUAAAUUCGAUGAUGCGCCCUGCUGCACAGCCACUUGUGGUUCCCCAAAACCCUUCGCCCCAGCUUGCGCAACAAGCGAUUCAAAGUAUUUUGGUCCGUCAGCAGAUAGCGGCGGCUCUGAUGCUGAACGGCAGGCCUCCGGUCCAGUUUCGACCCAUGAAUGCCCCGGCUCAAGUGAACCCUAUUGGUUCUCAGAACUCGAAUGCGGCAAAUUUGAAUUCCUCUAACAAGAACGGGAAUCUUAAUAACUUGUCAAACGGAGUAGCAACGAGUGCGAGUAUGUUUCAGCAGAUGAACCCAACAACCGAGCAGCUGCUGAACUCCCUGGGACUCGGAUCCUCAGGAGGAGGUUUGAGCGCCCCAAAUCAAAACCCGAUGAAUGGCCUGAACUUGAAUCGCAAUUUGCCCAGUCCGAUGUUUGACCCGAUUCCGGGUUCGAGGGUCAAGGACAAUUCAAAAUGAUGCCAUGAACAUCGUCAGCUUUAAAAAUCGGCUUAGCGCGCGACCGGCCAUUUCCGGUUGUCAUAAUGUGAUUACGCAAUUAGCCUCCUGCUAACCUAAAUCCCAGCAUACGCAAAGCGAUAGAGUGUUUAGAUGUCAAAAGAUGUUAAUUUUGUACAAAAUUGUGAACGUUUAUUUUUCCGAUUAUUUGGUUAUUUGCUGAUAUCAUGGUUGUCUUGGCGUUCCCCCUUUCAUCAUUUAUACUCCCGUUAUUUAUUCGCCAUGGUUCUCUUGUUUUUUUUUCAAAUGCCGUUUACUAUGAACUGCUACCUCUAAUAGUUGUAGUGCCUGUUGUUAUUCCAUUUAUUCAUUCACCCUAUGUUACUUUACUUCAUACGUUGUUUCAUUAAUUUAGUCAUCAUUUUUCGCCUUUUUCAUUACAUAUUUUUCUUCUGCAUGGCUAGGGUUUCUGCCAAGUUUGCGAUCAGCCCGGUCCCCAAAAUUUCGACAGGAUGAAGUUUCGAACCUUCAAUGUCGACAAGUGUAAAAUAGUUUUGUAGAUAUUCGAUGACUCGAGGCUGACGGCAGAUUAGAACCCAGCGUAGUUGACUUGUGAUUCCCUUAUCAAUUGGAUAGAAUUAUUACGAGAACGUCUCUUCGACUAUUUUCUCCGAUUUUACGCAACUUGACAACAUUCUCAUCUGAAGCGGGAUCCAUUUUUGUGUCCUAGACAGAUAUUAUCAUGAGUUGUCUCCUGAGUGGGGAUAAUUUCUCACUGUGCAUCGAGUUUAAAGUCGCCGUCGGAAGCAUUUACCCGAUUCUCUAAAACGCUGUCACGUCGUUUUUGACAAAUUAGCGAUUUUUGCGUUACUGAUUUCUUGUUGCGAAAGAAACGCCCUCCUGAUAUUCCAUCGACUGAGAAGACGCGAAAAAAAAACAAGGAGAAAACAGUAUCAAAAAUUGAACUCGUAACUCGAAAUAUAUAUUUUUUUGAAGUUGAAAAACUGAGCUUAACAAUUUCAGUAAUUGAACAUUAGUUGCUGUAUUGUUUUCAUUUUAUUUACCUUUUAAAAAUGCUGCGGGUAAAGUUGAUAUUAAUUUGAACGUUUGUUACUAUGGAUUCAAUCAGUUUGUUUUUUUUUGUGUUUUUUGGUUCAAUUUGACAUAUUUACCCGCUCUCAUUUUUCCUUGUGUGUUUGUAGCACACCUAUUAUUAUGUUUGAUGAUGUGAUUUGUGAUUAUUACUUAUGUUUCUUCAAAAAUGGUGCUAUCUUCAUAUAUCUUUCCUCUCAUUUCGUCUCAUCGUCUGACCUUUCGUUAGCUCUCUAAACCAACUGUAACAGCUCAGUAAAAAAUACUCACUUCGCCAAGAACACAAGUAACUGCAGUUUCCAUUAGAUUUAUCACUUUGGGCCCCUUUUCCUAUCCCUCCUCGUCCCCUCCCCUUCCAUUGAAAACACCUAUAAUUUUCGUUUAAAGGUAGGAAAAUUUUGCAUUACUGGCAGAUUUGAAUGGGUCAGGAGUGAUAAAGAAAAACUGUCUAAUUUUUUCAUCAUUGCACUCAAGUCAUUUAUAAUUAAUGCUAACUAUAGUUUACAUGUCUUGUUUAGCUUCCGUCACUUCCGUACUAAUUUAAUUAGCUAAUCAUAAUUUGAAGUAACAAUAAUAGUUUCACACUAAAACGCAUUGCGCUGUCCCCUUCAUUAGCAAGAGCAAUCAGGUAUUCCGUGACUUAAAUUCGAUGCUACCAAUGCUUAUUUUUGAAUGUAAAAUGAUAACUGCUAUCGAUUAUCCCAAAAGAACAAGUUGCUAAAAAGUGUACUCGGCAAUUAAUUUGUACCAGGUCCUAUGCAUCAGUGACCAUCCUAAAGGUGUGCAAUUGCAAAUCCAGACGAAGUUCCCACCUUUUUUGGUGCAGUUUGAAGAUUACAAAGCGCACAUUGUAGCGUUCAUCUUGAGAUGAGGUAAUAAUUUUGAUUAUGUGCUGUGCUCGUCUUUACAAAAAUACCCUGAAAUGUCAAAUUACGGUUUAUUUUUCUAUCCCAUUUUGUAAAUAGUCCUAAAGCACAAAUCCCAAGUGCUGAUAAUUCAGAAACGACCCCAGUUGAAGCUCUUGAACCAUACAGUGCUUGUCCAUAUUCAGUUUAAGUAAUCGCCCAACUCGAAUGUUUUCCUAAAAAGCGUGAACCUUAAGCGCUUGGAUUUCUUGAAGCGUAAUGCGAACUCCCUAAAUAGUUCCGAAACUCACCAAUAAAUUAUUUAAUACCAGGUGAUAAUACCAUCAUUAAUAUAGUAAAUCGUUCCUUGGUCAAUAUUGGUAAUCCAGAGAUGCUUCAUUUUCACUUCUGUGUUAUAAAACCUCUGGUGAUGAGAUCAAAAUUAAGAGAUGUGUGAUGCGGCUUCACUUGAACUUUUGUGAUAAUUUCAAACAUCGGUGCUACUUAAUUAUCACUGAGUGUGUUGACUAAAUCAACUAACUUUUUAACGAAACAUGUUAGGACUAACUAGUAAAGAAAGAGUGUGAAAGGUAAAUUUUUCCUUGAAGUUUGCGUCCGGCAGUCGCUGCGGCAAUCAGUCGAUCUCACCGAAAAAAAACUUGGCUCAAAUUAUUCGUUUUGUUAUUACUGCUAUACUUAACUAUAAAACUAUUAUGAUAUAGAAUUUAAAAGAAAGUCAUUGGCCUUACGUUUGAAAUGGAGCUUAUUUUGACCGAAUCUAGAAAGACUGUAUUUGUUCUAUAAUAGUCUAUACUGUCAUAGUUUUGUCAUCAUGUGUUACUAAAUCUUACAAAAUCAAAAACGAAGCAAUGUAGAUAACAAAAGAGCGUUUAGGUUUCAAACCAUUGCUUCGUUUUGAUAAAGUCUCGAAAAAUUAUUAUGUCGUUGCUGAAAUAUAUGGAAAUGCGCAGUGAUCUUAUAACAACGAUUCGAACUUCAACAACUCUACUAGACUAUGAGUCUGGGGACUGAUCAGUGCACUUCGAACAUGAGCUCCGCCAUGUGCAGUUGCAUCAGGAGGUACAAAAAGUGGAGUGCCUGUGCAUCGUUGUACAAAAGAAGUGGUGGAAUUAGGCGGCAACUGGACAUUGGAUCUGGGAAUUAUUUUCCGAUACCGAAGGUUCUUAGCUACAGUGGUUCUGACAGAAUACGAAUCUGAAGUCGCUAAAACCCAAUAUCGUCACCCUAUCAUCCUAAUACACAAGACAAUGCUCAGCACUAACUCCAGCAGCGGAAACUUCAAACUGAUAUGCGUCAUGUUUCGGGUGCUGUAUAUCAUUAUUUAGCAAAUUAUGGUUUAAGUAAAAACUGUGAAUUAAAAUCGCAACAGUC
Symsagittifera roscoffensis is the source of this 6721-nucleotide RNA transcript. It is a transcript of the gene named GATA zinc finger domain-containing protein 14-like, with no coding region annotated. The transcript is spliced from 4 exons. NCBI's taxonomy places the organism in Eukaryota, Metazoa, Xenacoelomorpha, Acoela, Convolutidae. The record is from RefSeq and is a predicted model, not a curated record.